Molecule: ribosomal RNA, 1489 nt
Filed under: Lactiplantibacillus pentosus
Lineage: Bacteria; Bacillati; Bacillota; Bacilli; Lactobacillales; Lactobacillaceae
Description: bacterial SSU rRNA
Rfam family: Bacterial small subunit ribosomal RNA
Source: RNAcentral
GACGAACGCUGGCGGCGUGCCUAAUACAUGCAAGUCGAACGAACUCUGGUAUUGAUUGGUGCUUGCAUCAUGAUUUACAUUUGAGUGAGUGGCGAACUGGUGAGUAACACGUGGGAAACCUGCCCAGAAGCGGGGGAUAACACCUGGAAACAGAUGCUAAUACCGCAUAACAACUUGGACCGCAUGGUCCGAGUUUGAAAGAUGGCUUCGGCUAUCACUUUUGGAUGGUCCCGCGGCGUAUUAGCUAGAUGGUGAGGUAACGGCUCACCAUGGCAAUGAUACGUAGCCGACCUGAGAGGGUAAUCGGCCACAUUGGGACUGAGACACGGCCCAAACUCCUACGGGAGGCAGCAGUAGGGAAUCUUCCACAAUGGACGAAAGUCUGAUGGAGCAACGCCGCGUGAGUGAAGAAGGGUUUCGGCUCGUAAAACUCUGUUGUUAAAGAAGAACAUAUCUGAGAGUAACUGUUCAGGUAUUGACGGUAUUUAACCAGAAAGCCACGGCUAACUACGUGCCAGCAGCCGCGGUAAUACGUAGGUGGCAAGCGUUGUCCGGAUUUAUUGGGCGUAAAGCGAGCGCAGGCGGUUUUUUAAGUCUGAUGUGAAAGCCUUCGGCUCAACCGAAGAAGUGCAUCGGAAACUGGGAAACUUGAGUGCAGAAGAGGACAGUGGAACUCCAUGUGUAGCGGUGAAAUGCGUAGAUAUAUGGAAGAACACCAGUGGCGAAGGCGGCUGUCUGGUCUGUAACUGACGCUGAGGCUCGAAAGUAUGGGUAGCAAACAGGAUUAGAUACCCUGGUAGUCCAUACCGUAAACGAUGAAUGCUAAGUGUUGGAGGGUUUCCGCCCUUCAGUGCUGCAGCUAACGCAUUAAGCAUUCCGCCUGGGGAGUACGGCCGCAAGGCUGAAACUCAAAGGAAUUGACGGGGGCCCGCACAAGCGGUGGAGCAUGUGGUUUAAUUCGAAGCUACGCGAAGAACCUUACCGGGUCUUGACAUACUAUGCAAAUCUAAGAGAUUAGACGUUCCCUUCGGGGACAUGGAUACAGGUGGUGCAUGGUUGUCGUCAGCUCGUGUCGUGAGAUGUUGGGUUAAGUCCCGCAGCGAGCGCAACCCUUAUUAUCAGUUGCCAGCAUUAAGUUGGGCACUCUGGUGAGACUGCCGGUGACAAACCGGAGGAAGGUGGGGAUGACGUCAAAUCAUCAUGCCCCUUAUGACCUGGGCUACACACGUGCUACAAUGGAUGGUACAACGAGUUGCGAACUCGCGAGAGUAAGCUAAUCUCUUAAAGCCAUUCUCAGUUCGGAUUGUAGGCUGCAACUCGCCUACAUGAAGUCGGAAUCGCUAGUAAUCGCGGAUCAGCAUGCCGCGGUGAAUACGUUCCCGGGCCUUGUACACACCGCCCGUCACACCAUGAGAGUUUGUAACACCCAAAGUCGGUGGGGUAACCUUUUAGGAACCAGCCGCCUAAGGUGGGACAGAUGAUUAGGGUG